This 648-nucleotide ribosomal RNA is filed under the name uncultured Porphyromonadaceae bacterium. Its description in RNAcentral is "bacterial SSU rRNA". It matches the Rfam family "Bacterial small subunit ribosomal RNA", at positions 72 to 715 of the family's 1533-position model. The record is from RNAcentral. Lineage: Bacteria; Pseudomonadati; Bacteroidota; Bacteroidia; Bacteroidales; Porphyromonadaceae.
UAAAGUAGCAAUACUUUUGGUGGCGACCGGCGCACGGGUGAGUAACGCGUAUGCAACCCAUCUAUCAGAGGGGAAUAACCCGGCGAAAGUCGGACUAAUACCGCAUAAAACAGGGGCACCGCAUGGUGAUAUUUGUUAAAGAAAUUCGCUGAUAGAUGGGCAUGCGUUCCAUUAGGUAGUUGGUGAGGUAACGGCUCACCAAGCCGACGAUGGAUAGGGGAACUGAGAGGUUGGUCCCCCACACUGGUACUGAGACACGGACCAGACUCCUACGGGAGGCAGCAGUGAGGAAUAUUGGUCAAUGGGCGAGAGCCUGAACCAGCCAAGUCGCGUGAAGGAAGAAGGAUCUAUGGUUCGUAAACUUCUUUUGCAGGGGAAUAAAGUGCAGGACGUGUCCUGUUUUGUAUGUACCCUGAGAAUAAGGAUCGGCUAACUCCGUGCCAGCAGCCGCGGUAAUACGGAGGAUCCGAGCGUUAUCCGGAUUUAUUGGGUUUAAAGGGUGCGUAGGUGGUUUGAUAAGUCAGCGGUGAAAGUUUGCAGCUUAACUGUAAAAAUGCCGUUGAAACUGUCGGACUUGAGUGUAAAUGAGGUAGGCGGAAUGCGUGGUGUAGCGGUGAAAUGCUCAGAUAUCACGAAGAACUCCGAUUG